AUUCUCGUAGCUUAAGGGAUAAGCCCCAGCCUUCUAAGCUGGUUUUAUGUUGGUUCGAAUCCAACCGGGAAUA
Molecule: transfer RNA, 73 nt
Filed under: compost metagenome
Description: tRNA-Arg
Rfam family: tRNA
About the family: Transfer RNA (tRNA) molecules are approximately 80 nucleotides in length. Their secondary structure includes four short double-helical elements and three loops (D, anti-codon, and T loops).
Source: RNAcentral